CACCUCCUCAGUCAGUGUUGGCAUUUGCAACUCUACAAUAUUGUUUUCUACAUAUAUUUGGUUUUGUUGGUUAUAAUCAUACAGAUUGUUAACAAAUUUAGUUCAACUAUUGACACUUAAAAACUUUCUCAUGUUAACCUGUAGUUUAAUAUCUUUCUAGGCCAGGCGCUGUGGCUCAUGCCUGUAAUCCCACACUCUGGGAGGCCAAGGCAGGCGGAUCACCUGAAGUUAGGAGUUCAAAACCAGCCUGGCUACCAUGGUGUAUUUUUAGUCUCUACUAAAAGUACAAAAAAAUUAGCCGGGUGUGGUGGCAGGUGCUGUAGUCCCAGCUAUUUAGGAGGCUGAGGCAGGAGAACUGCUUGAACCUGGGAGGCAGAGAUUGCAGUGAGCCAAGAUCACGCCACUGCACUCCAGCCUGAGCAACAAAGUGAGACUCCCAUCUCAAAAAAAAUAAAAUAAAAUAAAAAAUAAAAGUAAAAAUAUAUUUCUUUUAUGUUUUAAGGGAAAAAUAAUUCAUCAUCUCCCACAGCAGGCUGACACACGCCUCGCUUUGAACAUGGCCAGAUCUAUGUUAACUGUAUAACAAAUACUGAAUGGCCUUUUUAUCUCCACCAUUCCUUGUGGUUGUAAUUUACAUACUAGAUUUUUUUUUUCUUAAACAUUACAUGGUUCACUGUAGAAAAACAUGUAAUGGUGGCACAACAUUUCAUCAAGAGGCCGGGCGUGGUGGCUCACACCUGUAAUCCCAGCACUUUGGGAGGCCGAGGUGGGCAGAUCACCUGAGGUCAGGAGUUUGAGAC
This 800-nucleotide long non-coding RNA is filed under the name Homo sapiens (human). RNAcentral's name for it is "HSALNT0005429". The record is from RNAcentral. Lineage: Eukaryota; Metazoa; Chordata; Mammalia; Primates; Hominidae.